CGCUGCCUCUGCGCUGGGUCCCCGCAUCCAGCACUGGCCGCAGGGACAGCGGCCCCUCCUCUCCCCCGGCAGGUGUCAAGUGCCUCCCCCCGGCAGCCCGCGUAGCCCCCGGCGGCCUUUACCCUGCAGUUCUCUCGACCUCCACCAGAGUCCACUGCACUCUGCCUGCCUCAGCACUGGGGCUGGGGACAGCAGCGCCGGCCCAUCCGCACCGCAACCCCACGCCACCCCGCCACCUUCUCCAGGUACCGCCGCCCGGUGGAAGACAGCUCACUCAACAAGGCCAAGGUCGGAGUUCCAGGCCCAUCCAGAUCGUCCUGGAGGGUCGAGCUGCUCUACAGGAUGUACCCCCUUUAAGGGAAUGAAAAAACUGAGGCUUAAAGCCACACACAGCUGGGAAGUGGCAGAUCCAGGAUUCAAAGCCUGAUUCAUCUGACUUUGAAAUUACCACACCACACCUUUAAAACAUUAUAGCUGUUCUUAACAAGCUGAAAUUCUCAAGGUCAAGAUGGGCAUGUGUAAGUUUCUUUUCAGUAGGACUAUUUGUGAUGAAAUCAUUGGGAGUGCAUGAUGUGUAUGACCUCGGAUGCCUGUGUUGCUGGGGUCAAGAGGCCCAAGGGGACUAUGUUAGGGGGUUUGCAUUCUGGAAGAAGCUCCAGGGUCAGUUACAGAACCUGACCAUGACAUCUUUGGCAUGAGGAGGACCCUCCAGGUGGUCCCAAGAGAGCCAUAUCAAUGCUGGCUGACCCUACUCUGCCCUUCUUACCACAUACCACACUGGGUCCAGUUCAGAUUGAGUUAGUCUUUGGACUUCUACACCCUCUCACUGUGUCUGCCCCACUAUGACCUGAAUCAUGAUUGAUCCUAGAUCAUCUGGGGUAAGGAGCAGUAUCAGUCAGGAUAGGCGAGGUUAUCCUGCUGUAACAACCCACGUCUUGGUGACUUAAAACCACAAAGGUUCUGUGGAAAACAGUAUGGAAGUUCUUCACAAAAAUAAACAUGUAAGUAUCAUACAAUCCGGCAAUCCCACUUCAGUUGAUAGCAGAGACUCAAACAGACAUUUGUACGCUAGCGUUCAUAGUAGCCAUUAUUCAUACCAGCCAUGAAGAUGACCCAAAUGUUUAUCACCUGGUGAGUGGAUACAUAAAAUGGGGCAUGUGUGUGCAACAGAAUAUUAUUCAGACUAAAAAGGAAGGAAAUUCUGACACAUGCUACAGCCUGGAUGAACCUUGAUGUUAUGCUAAGUGAAAUAAGUCAGGCACAAAAGGAUAAAUAUUGUCUGAUUCCACUUAUAUGAGGCAGAAAGAAUAGUGGUUGCCAGGGCUGUGGGGGUAGAAGAGUGGACAGUUAGUGUUUAAUGGGUACAGAAUUUCAGUUUGGGAUGAUUUAAAAGUUCUGGGGAUGGAUGUUGGUGAUGGUUGAACAAUUUAUGAAUGUACGUAAUGCCUCUUAACUAUACACUUACAAAUGGUUACAAUGGUACAUUUCAUGUUAUAUAUAUUUCAGCACAUAAAAAAUAGAGUAUAGUACAAUUAUAAUUAAAUUUAUCAAAUACA
Manis javanica (Malayan pangolin) is the source of this 1556-nucleotide long non-coding RNA. RefSeq lists it as uncharacterized. NCBI's taxonomy places the organism in Eukaryota, Metazoa, Chordata, Mammalia, Pholidota, Manidae. The record is from RefSeq and is a predicted model, not a curated record.